GCCUGCUUAGAUAGCACAGUGGUUAAUGCAUUGCACUUGUAAUGCAAAGAUCACAGGUUCAAAUCCUGUAGCAGGCA
Non-coding RNA from Cladorrhinum sp. PSN332, 77 nucleotides. The record is from the annotation of a GenBank genome assembly. Lineage: Eukaryota; Fungi; Ascomycota; Sordariomycetes; Sordariales; Podosporaceae.